This 82-nucleotide small nucleolar RNA is filed under the name Marmota monax (woodchuck). The record is from RNAcentral. Lineage: Eukaryota; Metazoa; Chordata; Mammalia; Rodentia; Sciuridae.
AAGUGUUAUGAUUGGGGUUUUGGGCUGUUUUGAGAUGCACUUCCCCCAAUCUGUUUUACAGCUCCUGCACAUUGCCCAUCUG